RNAcentral lists this ribosomal RNA (484 nucleotides) under uncultured bacterium. RNAcentral's name for it is "partial 16S ribosomal RNA". It matches the Rfam family "Bacterial small subunit ribosomal RNA", at positions 30 to 507 of the family's 1533-position model. The record is from RNAcentral.
AUUGAACGCUGGCGGAAUGCUUUACACAUGCAAGUCGAACGGCAGCACGGGGGCAACCCUGGUGGCGAGUGGCGAACGGGUGAGUAAUACAUCGGAACGUGCCCGGCCGUGGGGGAUAACGUAGCGAAAGUUACGCUAAUACCGCAUACGAUCUUAGGUUGAAAGCGGGGGACCUUUGGGCCUCGCCCGAUCUGAUGGCCCGAUGUCAGAUUAGCUAGUUGGUGAGGUAAAGGCCUACCAAGCCGACGAUCUGUAGCUGGUCUGAGAGGACGACCAGCCACACUGGGACUGAGACACGGCCCAGACUCCUACGGGAGGCAGCAGUAGGGAAUUUUGGACAAUGGGCGCAAGCCUGAUCCAGCCAUUCCGCGUGCGGGACGAAGGCCUUCGGAUUGUAAAAUGCUUUUAUAUGGAACGAAAAGGCUCUGGCUAAUACCUGGAGCUCGUGACGGUACCGUAAGAAUAAGCACCGGCUAACUACGUG